GUAGAAGACAGAAACAGAUAGUAAACUUAA
This 30-nucleotide non-coding RNA is filed under the name Cricetulus griseus (Chinese hamster). Lineage: Eukaryota; Metazoa; Chordata; Mammalia; Rodentia; Cricetidae. The record is from RNAcentral.